This 1252-nucleotide ribosomal RNA is filed under the name Escherichia coli. RNAcentral's name for it is "partial 23S ribosomal RNA". It matches the Rfam family "Bacterial large subunit ribosomal RNA", at positions 210 to 1506 of the family's 2925-position model. Lineage: Bacteria; Pseudomonadati; Pseudomonadota; Gammaproteobacteria; Enterobacterales; Enterobacteriaceae. The record is from RNAcentral.
CCCGAGGAAAAGAAAUCAACCGAGAUUCCCCCAGUAGCGGCGAGCGAACGGGGAGGAGCCCAGAGCCUGAAUCAGUGUGUGUGUUAGUGGAAGCGUCUGGAAAGGCGCGCGAUACAGGGUGACAGCCCCGUACACAAAAAUGCACAUGCUGUGAGCUCGAUGAGUAGGGCGGGACACGUGGUAUCCUGUCUGAAUAUGGGGGGACCAUCCUCCAAGGCUAAAUACUCCUGACUGACCGAUAGUGAACCAGUACCGUGAGGGAAAGGCGAAAAGAACCCCGGCGAGGGGAGUGAAAAAGAACCUGAAACCGUGUACGUACAAGCAGUGGGAGCCUCUUUAUGGGGUGACUGCGUACCUUUUGUAUAAUGGGUCAGCGACUUAUAUUCUGUAGCAAGGUUAACCGAAUAGGGGAGCCGAAGGGAAACCGAGUCUUAACUGGGCGUUAAGUUGCAGGGUAUAGACCCGAAACCCGGUGAUCUAGCCAUGGGCAGGUUGAAGGUUGGGUAACACUAACUGGAGGACCGAACCGACUAAUGUUGAAAAAUUAGCGGAUGACUUGUGGCUGGGGGUGAAAGGCCAAUCAAACCGGGAGAUAGCUGGUUCUCCCCGAAAGCUAUUUAGGUAGCGCCUCGUGAAUUCAUCUCCGGGGGUAGAGCACUGUUUCGGCAAGGGGGUCAUCCCGACUUACCAACCCGAUGCAAACUGCGAAUACCGGAGAAUGUUAUCACGGGAGACACACGGCGGGUGCUAACGUCCGUCGUGAAGAGGGAAACAACCCAGACCGCCAGCUAAGGUCCCAAAGUCAUGGUUAAGUGGGAAACGAUGUGGGAAGGCCCAGACAGCCAGGAUGUUGGCUUAGAAGCAGCCAUCAUUUAAAGAAAGCGUAAUAGCUCACUGGUCGAGUCGGCCUGCGCGGAAGAUGUAACGGGGCUAAACCAUGCACCGAAGCUGCGGCAGCGACGCUUAUGCGUUGUUGGGUAGGGGAGCGUUCUGUAAGCCUGCGAAGGUGUACUGUGAGGUAUGCUGGAGGUAUCAGAAGUGCGAAUGCUGACAUAAGUAACGAUAAAGCGGGUGAAAAGCCCGCUCGCCGGAAGACCAAGGGUUCCUGUCCAACGUUAAUCGGGGCAGGGUGAGUCGACCCCUAAGGCGAGGCCGAAAGGCGUAGUCGAUGGGAAACAGGUUAAUAUUCCUGUACUUGGUGUUACUGCGAAGGGGGGACGGAGAAGGCUAUGUUGGCCGGGCGACGGUUGUC